CAAUAUAUUUCAAGAUGAUGGAUCUUUUACAAAAAUAUUACUAAUUGAUCCAAUUAAUACAAUUUGUAUAUACAGGUCCUGUAUAUACCUGCCAUAGGCUGUCCACUUCUGAAAGAUGGGUCUACCAAAUUGUAGAAGACUGGGAUCACUAGGCGUGAUUGGAUCCCAUAAAUAAACUUUUCAAGGGAUGGACCCAGAAUCUAACACAGGUUCAUUUGGUGGAAAGGUAAAACAUUUCCAUGCAGCCAAUAAGACCAGUGAUUAUUAUCCAUCCAAAAAUAAUUCCACCAACCUCAAGGCUCCUCCUCUUAUAUGUAGGAUAUCUCAUUUCAAAUCUGAAUUCUUUGAUAAAGAGUUUGGGCUAUCUCUCAGAGCAUCUGUAUUUUUCAUUCAAGGAGAAUUCAUAACAAAAGUCUUAACUAAUGC
RNAcentral lists this long non-coding RNA (426 nucleotides) under Androctonus crassicauda. Lineage: Eukaryota; Metazoa; Arthropoda; Arachnida; Scorpiones; Buthidae. The record is from RNAcentral.